This 897-nucleotide ribosomal RNA is filed under the name uncultured Thiobacillus sp. Its description in RNAcentral is "bacterial SSU rRNA". It matches the Rfam family "Bacterial small subunit ribosomal RNA", at positions 119 to 1009 of the family's 1533-position model. Lineage: Bacteria; Pseudomonadati; Pseudomonadota; Betaproteobacteria; Nitrosomonadales; Thiobacillaceae. The record is from RNAcentral.
CGGAACGUGCCGAGUAAUGGGGGAUAACGCAGCGAAAGUUGUGCUAAUACCGCAUACGCCCCGAGGGGGAAAGCAGGGGAUCUUCGGACCUUGCGUUAUUCGAGCGGCCGACGUCUGAUUAGCUAGUUGGUGGGGUAAAGGCCUACCAAGGCGACGAUCAGUAGCGGGUCUGAGAGGAUGAUCCGACACACUGGGACUGAGACACGGCCCAGACUCCUACGGGAGGCAGCAGUGGGGAAUUUUGGACAAUGGGGGCAACCCUGAUCCAGCCAUUCCGCGUGAGUGAAGAAGGCCUUCGGGUUGUAAAGCUCUUUCGGCAGGAACGAAACGGCGGGCUCUAACAUAGCCUGUUAAUGACGGUACCUGAAGAAGAAGCACCGGCUAACUACGUGCCAGCAGCCGCGGUAAUACGUAGGGUGCGAGCGUUAAUCGGAAUUACUGGGCGUAAAGCGUGCGCAGGCGGAUUGUUAAGCAAGACGUGAAAUCCCCGGGCUUAACCUGGGAAUGGCGUUUUGAACUGGCAGUCUAGAGUGCGUCAGAGGGGGGUGGAAUUCCACGUGUAGCAGUGAAAUGCGUAGAGAUGUGGAGGAACACCGAUGGCGAAGGCAGCCCCCUGGGAUGACACUGACGCUCAUGUACGAAAGCGUGGGUAGCAAACAGGAUUAGAUACCCUGGUAGUCCACGCCCUAAACGAUGUCAACUGGUUGUUGGGGGAGUGAAAUCCCUUAGUAACGAAGCUAACGCGUGAAGUUGACCGCCUGGGGAGUACGGUCGCAAGAUUAAAACUCAAAGGAAUUGACGGGGACCCGCAUCAAGCGGUGGAUGAUGUGGAUUAAUUCGAUGCAACGCGAAAAACCGUUACCUACCCUUGACAUGUCCGGAAUCCUGCAGAGAUGC